This is a long non-coding RNA of Silurus meridionalis, 722 nucleotides long. RefSeq lists it as uncharacterized. The record is from RefSeq and is a predicted model, not a curated record. NCBI's taxonomy places the organism in Eukaryota, Metazoa, Chordata, Actinopteri, Siluriformes, Siluridae. The transcript is spliced from 3 exons.
GAAAAAUUUGGAAGAAGAUGAAAGAGAAGAAAAAGAAGAUAAAAAGAAGCUCAAUAAUACAAAAAGCAGUGGACACUCAAACCCCAUCCCUGAAGAAUUUCUCCUUCCAGCUUUCAAUACGACCUGGAGGUUGGACAGGGAGAGGGUGUAGUCAGGAGAAGCAUCAAAGGAUCGUCGACAGCGGACUGCGGCACUCAUUACGGACCAUCAGUUUCUGAAACUUCCUCUUUUGUCCACACACACACACACACACACACACACACACACACACACACAGAUGUGAAAUGAAGACACAUGCUGUAGUGCUAAUUAAAUAGAUGAGCUGUAUUAACAUAACCUGAAAGCCCUGGCCAAUUCAAACCCCAUCCUCUUUCUCUCUCACACACACACACACACACACACACACACACACACACACAUACACACACAUGCGCAUGUACAAAACCCUUAAUUUUUUUGUUGUUAUGAUCCAACCAGUGAGCAUCAAUUGUUGGCCGGUGUAAUUACCAUUAGCCCGCCGCGGCUGCCUCUUUGAUAUGCUAAUGAAGCUUCAGCCACAGCCUUCCUCUCAUCGGGAUCAAAUAAUAAACGCUUCCUUGUGUCUAAUAAACACACACACGCACACACACACACACACACACACAACAUACACAACAUACAUACAUACAUACAUACACAACCUACAUUUCCUUACACAUUUGACAUACAGCACCAGGUGACUC